Pseudophryne corroboree (corroboree frog) is the source of this 360-nucleotide long non-coding RNA. RefSeq lists it as uncharacterized. The record is from RefSeq and is a predicted model, not a curated record. NCBI's taxonomy places the organism in Eukaryota, Metazoa, Chordata, Amphibia, Anura, Myobatrachidae. The transcript is spliced from 3 exons.
GACACGACAUUUCACCUGAUGUUCCAUGGGUGACCCUACUGGUGAAGUGGACCUGACCCUCCGCCAUGUAGCAGACAACCCCCCUCAGGUCCUGCGAUGUAUCUUCCCAAGUGGCGUGGAUGUGAGGAGACACGACAUUUCACCUGAUGUUCCAUGGGUGACCCUACUGGUGAAGUGGACCUGACCCUCCGCCAUGUAGCAGACAACCCCCCUCAGGUCUUCCGGUGUAUCCUUCCUAAGUGGUGUGGAUAUGAAGAGACAGUUCCCUUGAUGUUCCCUGGGCAAUCUACUUACGUACAAUUCAAAUGCAUUACAAAUUUUAAUAAAAACCACAGGAAACUUCUAUUUUUAAAAGUUUAU